Long non-coding RNA from Brassica napus (rape), 815 nucleotides. RefSeq lists it as uncharacterized. The transcript is spliced from 3 exons. The record is from RefSeq and is a predicted model, not a curated record. Lineage: Eukaryota; Viridiplantae; Streptophyta; Magnoliopsida; Brassicales; Brassicaceae.
UUUUCUCUUUCUUAAUUUCAUCGAAGACGGGAUUAGUUUGGGAGAUGGAGAAAGUCGCAGAGAAGAGUUGUGGGCAUAGAAAGAUGAGGCGAGGAAAGUCUACGGCGGAGAUUCCGUUUGAUUUUAGGAAGUGAUCAUAGCGGAGAGGAUGACGGGAAGGUUGUCCACCGGUGGAGCAAGUCUGGGAUUGUGAAGGAUUAUUCCGAGAUACGAGAGGCAUCUUAGAUUUUCACGGUGAAAGGUCUGAAACUGAAGAUAGAGAGGUCUAGAGUUUGGAGGAGGAAAGGAAAACGACGAGGAUGAAGAUAGAGGUUAAAGACGAAGUGAAGCAUAUAGGUAGCCAUUGAUUUUGUCGUCGCUUCUUAAUUUCACCAUCGACGAACAAUCCCAGAAGAUGAAUCAUCUUCUUCUGAAACUCCACAUCCGAGAGCAUCACAUGUUAGACGAGUCGACUAGACUGAUGAUCGAGACUGGAAACAUUUGAGCCGGCGGGAUCUGAUCUGGCAGCGGCUGUGCAUACGGCUCAGCUGGAUGCCGCUAACCGGAUUAGCUUCGAGGAGGAAAGGAAGACGACGAGGAUGAAGAUAGCCUUGGUGUUAAUGCUACGGUCACCGAUGAAGAAUUCCCAUUGACACCUCAUCCCUUCGCUAUUGGGGACAUUUGGUUAUUAACUAUGACCAGAAAGUCAUAGGUGGUUUCUGCGAUGUGUAUGUAAUUACAUCUAAUUCUCUUUAACAAGGGAAGAUGCCAGUUCAAGGUUAUAACAAACGAUUAAAAACAUCAUCACUAAGCUUGAAGAGGCGUUAUUGCUUGAG